GCUUUUGUGCAUUCUGCCACAAUAAUGCACAAUAAUGUCUUCAUUUCCAUCCUUUUCACAUCAAAUGUUGAUAUGCAAUUCAUUUUGUCAUUCGAUUAAUUACUUGUAAUGGAAAUAUAAAUGAUAAUAUAUCUUAUCUAAAUGUCAAAUAAGCCUGACUGCAUGCAAAUAGGGACAUGCAACACUCUCAAGUGUCUCCUCUCUAUCCAGAUCUAGCAAACGAUCUUACUGUGGAAAAAGUAAAUUGUACAUUUUCAGCCUGGGAGACAGAAGAAGGAAUGCAUUUCCCAUGAUUCAACAUGAAACUAAGUAGAAACAUCUCACACUCAACAGGCCGCUGCAUCUAGGCUAGUCAAUGAACUGGAAGGGAAUUGGACAUGGUAUCUGCAGGAUAUUGGCAGCGGGCAGGGCCCCCCAUGAUUGCAGCUGAAAAUGAACGACGCUGGGGACUGUCAAGCUAAUGCCAAGUUUGAUGAAGGAAGCCAAAGCUUCUCUUCUCCAAAGUGUAAAGAAAACCCACACGACUGACAAUACAUCUCAGAGAUGACCGAACACUACACAUCGUUUCAUGCCUCUUCCGUGUCUAGCAUAUUCAAAAAGGAAAGUUCAGGAACUUGUUGUGUUUGGCCUUUGCUCUCCAUCCAUCCCCUGUUCAAAAUCAAACCGGCGUUCUGGUUGUGACCUGUUCUCUACUCUCCACUGUCGACUCUGUUAACAUUAGCCAAACUAAUGAGGCAGCGCUCCUUAUCUGCCUCCCUCCUUUCUUGACAUGAGCGUCCUGCACACAGUUCUCUCGCAGUCAUCGCUCCUCUUUGCGUCAGCUCCCGCAAGUCGGGGAGUCGAACCCCUCCGGCCCUCGCUCUUCGUGGGAACAACAUGCCCCCCCCCCACCUCCCCAAUGGACCUUAGGCCUUGUCAUCUUUAAACCUUCAAACAACACCCGAGUCACCCUCCCCCUUCCCACGGUUAAAAUAAAUUGUCCUUAGUGUAGAGGCGGCUGUCUGAAGCUUGCAAGUUAGGCCUUCCUGUCUUCGGGAUUUUGGAAGCCCUCCCCUAGAGAGUAAGAAAGACUUUGUGAGAAAGAUGAGAGAAAAGAGGAACGGGAAAAGAGAGCAAAUGAGAAGAAGGUGUUGUAAUUCCUGCCCACUCUUGAAUCAGGACAGCGCCCACACACUUUUUCUCAAGCCCCCACGUGCACCGAUGGCUGGGGUGAUAUAGCACGGGACAGGGUGUGUGUGUGUGUGUGUGUGCUGUAAUGACGGUGAGGUGGCGUUUAAUGGCUGGCCAAAGUAUCCUCGUGGGCGACUGCCGUUCCCAUGCCCUGCUGCAUUCCUCCCUCAGAUCCCAGACGCGUUCUUUUGCUACUAUUUAUUUUUCCUUCCCCCUACGUGGAGGCCAGGAUGUACAACGAGUGCAUUACCAGUGACCUGAGUGGGAGGGGAAACAGUGGAGCCCUCCUGAACACAAAUGGACACACACUCACACACACACACACAUUUAAAUGCUGCCAUUAGUCCGGCCCCCAAGGGGUUAUGCUCUCCUUUUAACACAGCGGUGACACUGCAUGUACUGCGCUCUGGGUAGUUCUGGAGCAGAUUGACCUAUCUUUAGGUCUGGGUGAUUAUCUUUUCCCCAUUUUCUGAAGUAUUGAUGAAAUUAUGCAUCAAAUGUUCAAUGAAAGGUUGUUUCUUUGACUUUGUUGGUGAUAACAAUAGGCAAAAAAUGUAUAUCAUCAAUAGAAUUAAUCCAAUUAUACUGCUGUUGAAGAUAUGACGAUGUUUAACAAUGCACAAGGAACAAGGAAAAUCUCAAAGAAUGAUUCUUUUAAAUUAUAUAAUCAUAGCCAUAUCAUAGAUCAUAGAUUCUGAGACUGACCUGCUUGAGCUGCACAAGCUGAAGGUUGUGAGUGAAUGAACAAUGGCAAGCUGAAAUGCUUUUAGUCACAGAGAUCACAAGAAACAUUUAAAAAAUCUUACUGACUGCAAACAUGUUGAACCGUAGUGUAUAUUAUUGAGUAUCUAUCUACAAAAAAUAUGUAAAUGUAAUAUGUAUAUGUAAAUAUUCCUCUGAAGGCUAAGCAGAAAGUCCUGUCUUCAG
Long non-coding RNA from Puntigrus tetrazona (Sumatra barb), 2097 nucleotides. RefSeq lists it as uncharacterized. The record is from RefSeq and is a predicted model, not a curated record. NCBI's taxonomy places the organism in Eukaryota, Metazoa, Chordata, Actinopteri, Cypriniformes, Cyprinidae. The transcript is spliced from 3 exons.